Molecule: ribosomal RNA, 576 nt
Filed under: uncultured eukaryote
Lineage: Eukaryota
Description: SSU rRNA
Rfam family: Eukaryotic small subunit ribosomal RNA
Source: RNAcentral
UAUUUAUUAGAUAAAAAACCAAUGCCCUUCGGGGCUCCUUGGUGAUUCAUAAUAACUUAACGAAUCGCAUGGCCUUGCGCCGGCGAUGGUUCAUUCAAAUUUCUGCCCUAUCAACUUUCGAUGGUAAGAUAGUGGCUUACCAUGGUCUCAACGGGUAACGGGGAAUUAGGGUUCUAUUCCGGAGAGGGAGCCUGAGAAACGGCUACCACAUCCAAGGAAGGCAGCAGGCGCGCAAAUUACCCAAUCCCAAUUCGGGGAGGUAGUGACAAUAAAUACUGAUACGGGGCUCUUUCGGGUCUCGUAAUUGGAAUGAGUACAAUCUAAAUCCCUUAACGAGGAACAAUUGGAGGGCAAGUCUGGUGCCAGCAGCCGCGGUAAUUCCAGCUCCAAUAGCGUAUAUUAAAGUUGUUGCCGUUAAAAAGCUCGUAGUUGAACCUUGGACCUGGCUGAUCUGUCCUCCUAAUCGAGCGCACGGAUUCGGUCGGGUCUUUCCUUCUGGGGAGCCCUAUGCCCUUCACUGGGUGUAGUGGGGAACCAGGACUUUUACCUUGAAAAAAUUAGAGUGUUCAAAGCAGG